Long non-coding RNA from Daphnia magna, 362 nucleotides. RefSeq lists it as uncharacterized. The transcript is spliced from 2 exons. The record is from RefSeq and is a predicted model, not a curated record. Lineage: Eukaryota; Metazoa; Arthropoda; Branchiopoda; Diplostraca; Daphniidae.
AGAACAGCCCCCUUCAUUUCCGAUGAACAAACACAGGGCUGAACGAAAUCUCUAUAUGACACGUGACACGAUGGAAAAGCUUUCCUGCCCGAACUUUGAAAAAUCAUGGUACAAUCUUUUCACUUUUCUUACUUCACAAACACAACUAACUUGACAAAUUCGUCGAUAAAAUAAUAGUGUGAAGGAAGGGGACUCAUCCGCUAAACCUUUUCCGAAUGUUCAUAUCUUCAGUAGAUAGACGAUUGUUGCAAGGAUUUCGUAAAUUUUUAAGAGACAUCGUUGAAUCUUAAUGAAAUCCUGUGGACAAGGUUCAAGCUUAUGAACUGUGUGCAUCAACUUGUAUGUUCUCGUCGGGCGCCAAU